UCGGCUCAUGAGCAAGUCUCUCCUUUGAAGUACAGCUUUCAUUGAAACACAUCUUCUUUCGACAGUGCAAUUUUAGAUAAAUCUAGCAUCCAUUUAUUCUUCAAAAAGUAACCAAACAGCAUCUAUGGAGUUUUUGUUCUACAAAUUCUGCACCAAAGCUUUUUCGAAAGGAUCUAUAAGUCUGCUCUCCAUAAAUGGACGCUCUGCUAAAAGGCUCUGGCUUUGAAAUCACCAGAAGUUUGGAAUGCGGGGAAUGUGUCAAUUUUCAUGAACCUGCCUCUCGCUUAUUGUGUUUCUCUGCGCCUUUCCCCAAAUAAGGACGCUACCCGAAUACUGAUUGCCCAUUUUAGGUGUUGCUUUCCUUUUUCUUGACGAGCUGACGUCAUGGUGAUAAGGAGAGCUUUUUUAGUUGAGUUUCAGCCUUAAGCUCCACACUUUCUGGUUAGCAGUGAACCUAGCAACUUCUGCUUCUCCUGUGGUAAAGUAUAGCUUACUGAUAAACAUGGCCAACCAGGGACCUACUUAUGGAUUUAGUAGGGACAUUCGGAACAAGAUUGAGAAGAAGUAUGAACCUGAACUGGAGGAGCGGCUAGUAGAGUGGAUUAUCGCUCAGUGUGGAGCGAGUGUGGGGCGACCUGAGCCAGGGAGAAUGGGG
Long non-coding RNA from Rhincodon typus (whale shark), 655 nucleotides. RefSeq lists it as uncharacterized. NCBI's taxonomy places the organism in Eukaryota, Metazoa, Chordata, Chondrichthyes, Orectolobiformes, Rhincodontidae. The transcript is spliced from 2 exons. The record is from RefSeq and is a predicted model, not a curated record.